AUGACUCCUGUCAGACACAGCUUGUUUCUUUUUGCUCUCUGGAUUAAAGGUCUAACAGAUGGCAGUGUCGUCACUCAGACUCCUCUGCUGUGGGUCAACCAGAGUCAGUCCACCAUCAUGAACUGCAGUCACAACAAAGAUGCUACUUACUACCAGAUGUACUGGUACCAGCAGCUGCCGGGUCAGAACAUGAAGCUGAUAGUUUUUACGACAACAUCUCCUCCAUUCCAGUAUGAAGACGGCUUCAGCAAGGAGAAGUUUCCAGCGGACAGGAAGGACGCUCUGAGCGGAUCUCUGACGGUGAAGCAGCUGCAGCCUGAAGACAGCGGAGUGUAUUUCUGUUCAGUCAGUCAACACAGUGAUGAGGCCGAGUGAAAGAGCUGCACAAAAACCCAGCUGCUGGAGACACAGUGAAGUUACACUUCAUCAGCAGCAGGGGGAGCUCUCAAUUCAAACUAUGUAGCACCUCAACAUGUUUGCAAAGUGCUGAGUAUUUAAUCUUUUAUAAAUAUGAAAAGAAAAAUGGUUUAGACAGUAACAGUGAUUAUUUCAACCAAAAAUGGUGAAAUACUGCGGUAGAGGAAAACUCUUGUUUUGUUUUUGUGUUGUUCGGUCACAUACUGGCAUUUUUUGGGUCUGUGUUUUAAUCAACAAUUAAAUUACAAAUAUUCCAAUAAUUGAUUAAUCAGGAUUAAUUCAAUUCCUCGUUUCCGCCCUAAACUACAAGCUUUUGAAAUGGUUCUGGUUUGUGUCUCCUCCCCUCUCAUAGUUGAUCCUCUAACAUGAGUUCAGCUCGUCAGUCGCUGCAGAGACAGAGAGGAAGAC
This is a non-coding RNA of Xiphophorus hellerii (green swordtail), 825 nucleotides long. NCBI's taxonomy places the organism in Eukaryota, Metazoa, Chordata, Actinopteri, Cyprinodontiformes, Poeciliidae. The record is from the annotation of a RefSeq genome assembly.